This 972-nucleotide long non-coding RNA is filed under the name Marmota monax (woodchuck). The record is from RNAcentral. Lineage: Eukaryota; Metazoa; Chordata; Mammalia; Rodentia; Sciuridae.
ACUUGUCAUAAUUAUGAUGAACUUACUUAUGUUAAUUAUUCUUUUUCUUUAAAUAUUUAUUUUUUAGUUGUAGUUGGACACAAUAUCUUUAUUUUAUUUAUUUAUUUAUUUUUAUGUGGUGCUGAGGAUCGAACCCAGGGCCUCGCAUGUGCUAAGCGAGCACUCUACCGCUGAGCCCCAGCCUCAGGCCCUGAGUUAAUUAUUCUUUAAUGGCCGUCUUCCCUAUUUCUAGAUUGCAGGCUCGUGAAGGCAGAGACCUUGUCUGUGUCAUUCCCAGUGCCUAGAAAACGAUAGUCUCUAAAGAAAUACUCAUCCCGUGACUGCAAGGGCUAUUUUUCUGGGUUCUCAUUCAUUCAGCAGACACCUGUGGGGCACCUGCUCUGUGCCAACUCCGUGGCACGAGGGGAAGGUUAUUCCUAAAUCAGGGAUUGAAUCCCCAAGAAGAGCUGGUAUAGAGACUUAGCCUGGGCAGAAGUGGAGCAUAGAUGCAGAGGUGAGGCUGGCAAGGCAAGCAGGUAAACUGAGAGCCUGCCUCAUGCCAGAGCUUGUGCCAGGUUGGGCAUUGAGUAGUGAGUGAGAGUCUCUGCCCUCAGGGAAGCGGUGGUCGGGCCAGGAAAAGAAACUAAGAAACAUUCCCUUCUGAGCCUACUAUCCUGCUCUGGGAGAGUAGUGAGCACCUGACUUGGAAGGUGGUCCUUGGGGUCUAAGAAUCUGUAUUCAGAUUUCACAUCUCAGGGACCAGGCGGAGCCAGUUGUAAACACUCUUCAUUAACCAGAGUGAAAUUCCAAGGCAGGGCAGGGAGGGCCAGGGACAUUGUUUCCUCUCCAUUGCUGGUUAUUUCGCUCUGAGGUCCUUUCUGUGGGCCACAGACCUGUGGCUUCCCACUCAGGGAGGAGCAUGUGCGCUGAGGUGUGGGACAGGCAGGCCACUGUCACCAGGCCCCACACAGUCCUCUGAAGUGGGCAGGCGGG